GACGAACGCUGGCGGCGUGCUUAACACAUGCAAGUCGAACGGAAAGGCCCUGCUUUUGUGGGGUGCUCGAGUGGCGAACGGGUGAGUAACACGUGAGUAACCUGCCCUUGACUUUGGGAUAACUUCAGGAAACUGGGGCUAAUACCGGAUAGGAGCUCCUGCUGCAUGGUGGGCGUUGGAAAGUUUCGGCGGUUGGGGAUGGACUCGCGGCUUAUCAGCUUGUUGGUGGGGUAGUGGCUUACCAAGGCUUUGACGGGUAGCCGGCCUGAGAGGGUGACCGGCCACAUUGGGACUGAGAUACGGCCCAGACUCCUACGGGAGGCAGCAGUGGGGAAUAUUGCACAAUGGGCGGAAGCCUGAUGCAGCAACGCCGCGUGCGGGAUGACGGCCUUCGGGUUGUAAACCGCUUUCGCCGGUGACGAAGCGUGAGUGACGGUAAUGGGUAAAGAAGCACCGGCUAACUACGUG
This 468-nucleotide ribosomal RNA is filed under the name uncultured bacterium. RNAcentral describes it as "partial 16S ribosomal RNA". It matches the Rfam family "Bacterial small subunit ribosomal RNA", at positions 28 to 507 of the family's 1533-position model. The record is from RNAcentral.